AAUGAACGUUGGCUGCUUGGAUUAGGCAUGCAAGUCGAGCGAGAAGGGUUUUGAAGCUUGCUAUGAAACACGGAAAGCGGCGCAAGGGAGAGUAACGAGUAGUUACUUACCCCAAGGCCCGGAAUAGCUGCGGGAAACUGCAGGUAAUGCCGGAUAGUAUCCCCGGCUCAACGGUGUGAUUCGGCCUUGGGAGGAGACUGCGUUGUACUAGCUAGUUGGUAGGGUAAUGGCCUACCAAGACUACGAUGCAUAGCGGGCGUGAGAGCGUGGCCCGUCUCACUGGGACUGAAACACUGCCCAGACACCUACGGGUGGCUGCAGUCGAGAAUCUUCGGCAAUGGGCAAAAGCCUGACCGAGCGAUGCCGCGUGCGGGAUGAAGGCCCUCGGGUUGUAAACCGCUGUCGUAGAGGAGAAAGGUCUGAUGAAGAAUCAGAUUUGAUCUAUUCUAGGAGGAAGUCCGGGCUAAGUUCGUGC
Molecule: ribosomal RNA, 475 nt
Filed under: uncultured bacterium
Lineage: Bacteria
Description: partial 16S ribosomal RNA
Rfam family: Bacterial small subunit ribosomal RNA
Source: RNAcentral